RNAcentral lists this ribosomal RNA (514 nucleotides) under uncultured bacterium. RNAcentral describes it as "partial 16S ribosomal RNA". It matches the Rfam family "Bacterial small subunit ribosomal RNA", at positions 28 to 523 of the family's 1533-position model. The record is from RNAcentral.
GAUGGACGCUGGCGGCGUGCCUAAUACAUGCAAGUCGAGCGAACAGAUGAGAAGCUUGCUUCUCUGAUGUUAGCGGCGGACGGGUGAGUAAGACGUGGGUAACCUACCUAUAAGACUGGGAUAACUCCGGGAAACCGGGGCUAAUACCGGAUAAUAUUUUGAACCGCAUGGUUCAAUAGUGAAAGACGGUUUGGGCUGUCACUUAUAGAUGGAACCGCGCCGUAUUAGCUAGUUGGUAAGGUAACGGGUUACCAAGGCGACGAUACGUAGCCGACCUGAGAGGGUGAUCGGCCACACUGGAACUGAGACACGGUCCAGACUCCUACGGGAGGCAGCAGUAGGGAAUCUUCCGCAAUGGGCGAAAGCCUGACGGAGCAACGCCGCGUGAGUGAUGAAGGUCUUCGGAUCGUAAAACUCUGUUGUUAGGGAAGAACAAAUUUGUUAGUAACUGAACAAGUCUUGACGGUACCUAACCAGAAAGCCACGGCUAACUACGUGCCAGCAGCCGCGGUAA